ACUCCUACGGGAGGCAGCAGUGGGGAAUAUUGCACAAUGGGCGCAAGCCUGAUGCAGCCAUGCCGCGUGUGUGAAGAAGGCCUUCGGUUGUAAAGCACUUUCAGUCGUGAGGAAGGUAGUGUAGUUAAUAGCUGCAUUAUUUGUACGUUAGCGACAGAAGAAGCACCGGCUAACUCCGUGCCAGCAGCCGCGGUAAUACGGAGGGUGCGAGCGUUAAUCGGAAUUACUGGGCGUAAAGCGCAUGCAGGUGGUUUGUUAAGUCAGAUGUGAAAGCCCGGGGCUCAACCUCGGAAUUGCAUUUGAAACUGGCAGACUAGAGUACUGUAGAGGGGGUAGAAUUUCAGGUGUAGCGGUGAAAUGCGUAGAGAUCUGAAGGAAUACCGGUGGCGAAGGCGGCCCCCUGGACAGAUACUGACACUCAGAUGCGAAAGCGUGGGGAGCAAACAGGAUUAGAUACCCUGGUAGGACAGUG
Molecule: ribosomal RNA, 472 nt
Filed under: uncultured bacterium
Lineage: Bacteria
Description: bacterial SSU rRNA
Rfam family: Bacterial small subunit ribosomal RNA
Source: RNAcentral